This 475-nucleotide ribosomal RNA is filed under the name uncultured bacterium. RNAcentral's name for it is "bacterial SSU rRNA". It matches the Rfam family "Bacterial small subunit ribosomal RNA", at positions 28 to 507 of the family's 1533-position model. The record is from RNAcentral.
GAUGAACGCUAGCGGCAGGCUUAACACAUGCAAGUCGAGGGGUAUAGUAGCAAUACUAGAGACCGGCGCACGGGUGCGUAACGCGUAUGCAAUCUACCUUUGCAGAGGGAUAGCCCAGAGAAAUUUGGAUUAAUACCUCAUAGUAUAGUACCUUGGCAUCAAGGAACUAUUAAAGUCACAACGGCAAAAGAUGAGCAUGCGUCCCAUUAGUUAGUUGGUAAGGUAACGGCUUACCAAGACUACGAUGGGUAGGGGUCCUGAGAGGGAGAUCCCCCACACUGGUACUGAGACACGGACCAGACUCCUACGGGAGGCAGCAGUGAGGAAUAUUGGACAAUGGGCGCAAGCCUGAUCCAGCCAUGCCGCGUGCAGGAAGACGGUCCUAUGGAUUGUAAACUGCUUUUAUUUGGGAAUAAACCUCUUUACGUGUAGAGAGCUGAAGGUACCAAAUGAAUAAGCACCGGCUAACUCCGUG